RNAcentral lists this ribosomal RNA (490 nucleotides) under uncultured bacterium. RNAcentral describes it as "partial 16S ribosomal RNA". It matches the Rfam family "Bacterial small subunit ribosomal RNA", at positions 30 to 507 of the family's 1533-position model. The record is from RNAcentral.
AUUGAACGCUGGCGGCAGGCUUAACACAUGCAAGUCGAGCGGUAGCACAGGGGAGCUUGCUCCCUGGGUGACGAGCGGCGGACGGGUGAGUAAUGUCUGGGAAACUGCCUGAUGGAGGGGGAUAACUCCUGGAAACGGUAGCUAAUACCGCAUAACUUCGCAAGACCAAAGAGGGGGACCUUCGGGCCUCUUGCCAUCAGAUGUGCCCAGAUGGGAUUAGCUAGUAGGUGGGGUAAUGGCUCACCUAGGCGACGAUCCCUAGCUGGUCUGAGAGGAUGACCAGCCACACUGGAACUGAGACACGGUCCAGACUCCUACGGGAGGCAGCAGUGGGGAAUAUUGCACAAUGGGCGCAAGCCUGAUGCAGCCAUGCCGCGUGUGUGAAGAAGGCCUUCGGGUUGUAAAGCACUUUCAGCGAGGAGGAAGGUGGUGAGCUUAAUACGUUCAUCAAUUGACGUUACUCGCAGAAGAAGCACCGGCUAACUCCGUG